Molecule: ribosomal RNA, 217 nt
Filed under: Staphylococcus pasteuri
Lineage: Bacteria; Bacillati; Bacillota; Bacilli; Caryophanales; Staphylococcaceae
Description: 16S rRNA. Bacterial SSU
Rfam family: Bacterial small subunit ribosomal RNA
Source: RNAcentral
UUUUUAUGGAGAGUUUGAUCCUGGCUCAGGAUGAACGCUGGCGGCGUGCCUAAUACAUGCAAGUCGAGCGAACAGAUAAGGAGCUUGCUCCUUUGACGUUAGCGGCGGACGGGUGAGUAACACGUGGAUAACCUACCUAUAAGACUGGGAUAACUUCGGGAAACCGGAGCUAAUACCGGAUAAGAUUUUGAACCGCAUGGUUCAAUAGUGAAAGACG